GUAGGUGGCAAGCGUUGUCCGGAAUUAUUGGGCGUAAAGCGCGCGCAGGCGGUUCUUUAAGUCUGAUGUGAAAGCCCACGGCUCAACCGUGGAGGGUCAUUGGAAACUGGAUAACUUGAGUACAGAAGAGGAAAGCGGAAUUCCACGUGUAGCGGUGAAAUGCGUAGAGAUGUGGAGGAACACCAGUGGCGAAGGCGGCUUUCUGGUCUGUAACUGAUGCUGAGGCGCGAAAGCGUGGGGGAGCAAACAGGAUUAGAUACCCUGGUAGUCCACGCCGUAAACGAUGAGUGCUAAGUGUUAGGGGGUUUCCGCCCCUUAGUGCUGCAGCUAACGCAUUAAGCACUCCGCCUGGGAGUACGGCCGCAAGGCUG
RNAcentral lists this ribosomal RNA (371 nucleotides) under uncultured organism. Its description in RNAcentral is "partial 16S ribosomal RNA". It matches the Rfam family "Bacterial small subunit ribosomal RNA", at positions 527 to 896 of the family's 1533-position model. The record is from RNAcentral.